AGGUUUUGCUCCCAGUUUGUCCCAGUUCCCAGCCAGGCAGUGGGAGGUUGGGAAUGCUCCUGGCUGGAAAAGGAGGAGGAGGAGGAGGAGGAAGAGGAGGAGGAGGCCUGCAGGGUUGCCAUGGCGAUUGAGCAUCUCCAAAUCCUCGGAUUAUUUAUCCCCGGGUUUGUUUAGGCUGAGGGAAAGCCUUGAGGGUGGGAAGAGGGUUGGGGUGUGAGGAAGAGGAGUGUGGGAGUCCAGGAAUUCUGAUCCUAGAGGAGAAAUCCUAAAAUUCCAGCCCUGGGGCUCAGCUCCACCUCUGGAGCAGCAAAAAACAGGGAAUUCAGGAUGGUUUAUGGGGAAUUUUCCCUCUCAGGGAUCCUGUGAUCCCAAAUCUGUCCUGGAUUUCCAAUGUGGGAUCUGGCCCAUGGAAUCCAGGCUUUGUUGGGAAUAAUUUGGGUGUGUGGAUGGAUUUGGAUCAGGCCCUGGUGCUGGAUGCUGGGAACGCUUUCCAAACCCGUUUCCCAAAUUCCAGAGGAGUUUGAUGGAGUGAUCCUCUGAUUUCUGGGAUUAAACAUCACCUCAUUCCCUUCCUGGAGCACUGGAGCAUCCCAGGCACUUCCAGCUGUUUCCAGCUGCAAAUCCCCUCGGGAAGAACCACCCUGUGUCCUGUCCCCUCUUUGGAGCUGUGCCAGGUUGGUGACAUUCCAGGAAUUCUUCCAGGAUGCUCCUUCCAGAUGUGUCCCUGCACAUCUGCUGCCACUCCCAAGGAAAACUGGGACAUUUUGGGGUGUCUGGAGCUGGAAUUUUGGGGUAAAACAGGAGAAAUCUACCGAGAGAGUUGAGAACAUCCCAGUGUUUGCCACGUCCCCCCUUCCCGCUCCCUCCUUUCCACGGGAUCUGUAAUUGCUCCUAAACCUCAUCUCCAAUUCCUUUUGAUGCCUCCAGUGUCCCCGUUAUGUAAAUCCCAGCGUGGGAAUGCCGUGGAUUUUAUGGAUGAGGAGUUUGUGCAGCUGAGGGGACACCUUGGAUCGUCACACAUCAAAGGGCGAGGGAAAAUGACUCCGGGAAAUCGGGAGCCCUGUGGAAAAAUCGAUUCCGUUUGAUUUUGCCAACAGAGGGAUUUUUGGGAAGGCCAAGGAGCAUCCUCAGGGAAUGAGGGUCCCACCGGAGCUGUCACCCAUUGGGCAGGAGGAGGAAUGAGGAUUUUUCCUGGCUGUGGAUGCUGAAGGAGUCUUGGAUGAAGAAAAUCUUCCCAAAAUCAUGGAAUGGUUUGGAAGGGAGGUCAUUGAGCCCCUGAGCAGGGACAUCUCCUGCUAAACCUUAUCCCAGCACCAGGAGGAUGAUAUUCCAUGGAAAACAGCACAGCCAACACUCCCACAGCUCCAAAAAUCCAGGAAGAAACUGAAAUUUGGCAAAAACAAAAAACCGUGGAGAAGCAGCCUUUCUUGGGGAGGGGAGGAGAAAGCUGGGAAUGUUUUCCAAGAACCCCCGUGCUCCAGCACGGGGAGGACAAUGACAAACGAGGUGAACUCGGAGGCUGCGGAGAAAAUCUUGGCAGCGGGCGGAAAACGCGCUGCCAGAUUCCGGGGAAUUUUAACUGGCAUUUAAUUAGCGGCACUCAGGUGGUCACAGGAGCGGUGGCAGUGCCGCAGUUCCUGGCAUUUGUUAAUUAAAGCUGCUCCUGACAGGGA
Non-coding RNA from Zonotrichia albicollis (white-throated sparrow), 1673 nucleotides. Lineage: Eukaryota; Metazoa; Chordata; Aves; Passeriformes; Passerellidae. The record is from RefSeq and is a predicted model, not a curated record.